ACAUGGAGAAAUAUUACCUUAUGUUUUGUCAUUGCACCAACGAUGAGUGGGCACACCAUUCCCGACAGUGUCCCCACACCAUUGGAAAUUCCCAUCAGAAUGCUGGCGUAACGUGGUGCAAUGUCCAAGUGAUUUACAUUGAAUCCUACAGCAAAUGAGAGACAAUGGUCAACUACACAACAUUGUGCCACCUGGCCAACAGGGCUUCCUACAACCAUUCUGGCUGAAGAAGCCUGAAAAGGAUCUAGCUGGCCUAAAGUAACAUCCUGUGUGCAGAUGCUUGUUUUGCAGCACCCACAAAAUAAUAUGAGGUUACUACACACCUGCAAGGAGUCACAAUGUUGCUGAAGCUGGAUGCCAAUACCAUGGGCUGUGUAGGAACCAGCAUGACAUCCUUGAUACAUACCUACAAGAGGAGAGUAAUCUGGAUAAUUUGAAAUUUGCAUACCAUUUCCACAUAGCAACCCCAGUGCAGUGACACAUCACAUAGCCACUAAACACAAACCCUACGUGUAUCGG
Long non-coding RNA from Pezoporus occidentalis (night parrot), 519 nucleotides. RefSeq lists it as uncharacterized. The record is from RefSeq and is a predicted model, not a curated record. Lineage: Eukaryota; Metazoa; Chordata; Aves; Psittaciformes; Psittacidae. The transcript has 3 exons.